RNAcentral lists this long non-coding RNA (343 nucleotides) under Linum usitatissimum (flax). RNAcentral describes it as "long non-coding RNA (LUSI_LNC005507)". The record is from RNAcentral. Lineage: Eukaryota; Viridiplantae; Streptophyta; Magnoliopsida; Malpighiales; Linaceae.
CCGCGUCGGUCGGGUUGAGGUUCUUGGUGGCGAGGGAGCUCAGGAUGGUUCCCGUAGUGGCAAACGGGGGCGGGAGGUUGGCCAAGGUGGUGUCUUGUGUUACUAACGUUGUACCGUCGCGGCGGCCUAACGCCACUUGGUACUUUGGCCCACCAGACUAUGGAAUAAAAAAAAUACACACAUUAGUUACAUUAAAUUAAACCGGAAAGGAAAUCGAUAAAUUCUAUCUAACCAAAUUCGUUCGACUCGAUUUUACCAGGACGACGGAGUCACGGGCAGCUAUAGCGACAAUGUCGGAGCAAGAGACGACGCGGCCGCACUCCUUGUGGACACGUGCACGGAG